Molecule: transfer RNA, 73 nt
Filed under: Bos taurus (domestic cattle)
Lineage: Eukaryota; Metazoa; Chordata; Mammalia; Artiodactyla; Bovidae
Also listed under: 3 other names
Rfam family: tRNA
About the family: Transfer RNA (tRNA) molecules are approximately 80 nucleotides in length. Their secondary structure includes four short double-helical elements and three loops (D, anti-codon, and T loops). Further hydrogen bonds mediate the characteristic L-shaped molecular structure. tRNAs have two regions of fundamental functional importance: the anti-codon, which is responsible for specific mRNA codon recognition, and the 3' end, to which the tRNAs corresponding amino acid is attached (by aminoacyl-tRNA synthetases). tRNAs cope with the degeneracy of the genetic code in two manners: having more than one tRNA (with a specific anti-codon) for a particular amino acid; and 'wobble' base-pairing, i.e. permitting non-standard base-pairing at the 3rd anti-codon position.
Source: Rfam by way of RNAcentral
UCCCUGGUAGUCCAGUGGUGAAGACUCUGUGCUUCCAGUGCAGGGGGCCUGGGUUUGAUUCCUGGGUGGGGAA